GUGCCAGCCGCAGCGGUAAUACGUAGGGGCAAGCGUUGUCCGGAAUUAUUGGGCGUAAAGCGCGCGCAGGCGGUUCUUUAAGUCUGGUGUCUAAGUGCGGGGCUCAACCCCGUGAUGCACUGGAAACUGGGGACUGGAGUGCAGAAGAGGAGAGCGGAAUUCCACGUGUAGCGGUGAAAUGCGUAGAGAUGUGGAGGAACACCAGUGGCGAAGGCGGCUCUCUGGUCUGUAACUGACGCUGAGGCGCGAAAGCGUGGGAGCAAACAGGAUUAGAUACCCUGGUAGUCCACGCCGUAAACGAUGAGUGCUAGGUGGUUGGGGUAUCAGUGCCCUCGGUGCCGAAGUUACACAUUAAGCACUCCGCCGUGGGAGUACGGUCGCAAGACUGAAACUC
Molecule: ribosomal RNA, 394 nt
Filed under: uncultured Cohnella sp.
Lineage: Bacteria; Bacillati; Bacillota; Bacilli; Caryophanales; Paenibacillaceae
Description: bacterial SSU rRNA
Rfam family: Bacterial small subunit ribosomal RNA
Source: RNAcentral